RNAcentral lists this ribosomal RNA (492 nucleotides) under uncultured bacterium. RNAcentral describes it as "partial 16S ribosomal RNA". It matches the Rfam family "Bacterial small subunit ribosomal RNA", at positions 29 to 507 of the family's 1533-position model. The record is from RNAcentral.
AGUGAACGCUGGCGGUAGGCCUAACACAUGCAAGUCGAACGGCAGCACAGUAAGAGCUUGCUCUUACGGGUGGCGAGUGGCGGACGGGUGAGGAAUACAUCGGAAUCUACUUUUUCGUGGGGGAUAACGUAGGGAAACUUACGCUAAUACCGCAUACGACCUACGGGUGAAAGCAGGGGAUCUUCGGACCUUGCGCGAUUGAAUGAGCCGAUGUCGGAUUAGCUAGUUGGCGGGGUAAAGGCCCACCAAGGCGACGAUCCGUAGCUGGUCUGAGAGGAUGAUCAACCACAAUGGAACUGGGACACGGGCCAGACUCCUACGGGAGGCAGCAGUGGGGAAUAUUGGACAAUGGGCGCAAGCCUUAUCCAGCCAUACCGCGUGGGUGAAGAAGGCCUUCGGGUUGUAAAGCCCUUUUGUUGGGAAAGAAAAGCAGCAGGUUAAUACCCCGCUGUUCUGACGGUACCCAAAGAAUAAGCACCGGCUAACUUCGUG